GAUGAACGCUGGCGGCGUGCCUAAUACAUGCAAGUCGAGCGAACAGAUGAGAAGCUUGCUUCUCUGAUGUUAGCGGCGGACGGGUGAGUAACACGUGGGUAACCUACCUAUAAGACUGGGAUAACUCCGGGAAACCGGGGCUAAUACCGGAUAAUAUUUUGAACCGCAUGGUUCAAUAGUGAAAGACGGUUUCGGCUGUCACUUAUAGAUGGACCCGCGCCGUAUUAGCUAGUUGGUAAGGUAACGGCUUACCAAGGCGACGAUACGUAGCCGACCUGAGAGGGUGAACGGCCGCACUGGAACUGAGACACGGUCCAGACUACGACGGGAGGCAGCAGUAGGGAAUCUUCCGCAAUGGGCGAAAGCCUGACGGAGCAACGCGGCGUGAGUGAUGAAGGUCUUCGGAUCGGAAAACUCUGUUGUUAGGGAAGAACAAAUUUGUUAGUAACUGAACAAGUCUUGACGGUACCUAACCAGAAAGCCACGGCUAACUACGUGCCAGCCGCCGCCGUAA
RNAcentral lists this ribosomal RNA (514 nucleotides) under uncultured bacterium. Its description in RNAcentral is "partial 16S ribosomal RNA". It matches the Rfam family "Bacterial small subunit ribosomal RNA", at positions 28 to 523 of the family's 1533-position model. The record is from RNAcentral.